RNAcentral lists this ribosomal RNA (545 nucleotides) under uncultured bacterium. RNAcentral's name for it is "partial 16S ribosomal RNA". It matches the Rfam family "Bacterial small subunit ribosomal RNA", at positions 355 to 914 of the family's 1533-position model. The record is from RNAcentral.
UGGGGAAUAUUGCACAAUGGGCGAAAGCCUGAUGCAGCAACGCCGCGUGAGUGAUGAAGGUCUUCGGAUUGUAAAGCUCUGUCUUUUGGGACGAUAAUGACGGUACCAAAGGAGGAAGCCACGGCUAACUAAGUGCCAGCAGCCGCGGUAAUACGUAGGUGGCGAGCGUUGUCCGGAUUUACUGGGCGUAAAGGGUGCGUAGGCGGAUGUUUAAGUGAGAUGUGAAAUACCCGGGCUUAACUUGGGUGCUGCAUUUCAAACUGGAUAUCUAGAGUGCAGGAGAGGAGAAUGGAAUUCCUAGUGUAGCGGUGAAAUGCGUAGAGAUUAGGAAGAACACCAGUGGCGAAGGCGAUUCUCUGGACUGUAACUGACGCUGAGGCACGAAAGCGUGGGUAGCAAACAGGAUUAGAUACCCUGGUAGUCCACGCCGUAAACGAUGAGUACUAGGUGUAGGAGGUAUCGACCCCUUCUGUGCCGCAGUAAACACAUUAAGUACUCCGCCUGGGAAGUACGAUCGCAAGAUUAAAACUCUAAAGUGAAUUGAC